UGUCUUUUUGAGAAUAAUAUAAAGUCUAAUCUGCCCACUGAUUAAUAUUAAAGGGCUGCAGUAUAUUGACUGUACAAAGGUAGCAUAAUCAUUAGUCAUUUAAUUGAUGACUUGUAUGAAGGAUUGGAUGAAAUAUAAACUGUCUCUUAAUUAUUAUAUUUAGAAUUUAAUUUUUUAAUUAAAAAGUUAAAAUAUAUUAAAAAGACGAGAAGACCCUAUAGAGUUUUAUAAUUUAGGUUUAUUGAGAUUAUUUAUAAAAUUAAAAUUAAAAUUAAUCUAUUUAUUUUGUUGGGGUGACAGAAAAAUAUAAUAAACUUUUUAUAUAUUUUAACAUUAAUAAGUGAUUAAAUGAUCCAAUAUUAUUGAUUAUAAGAAAAAAUUACCUUAGGGAUAACAGCGUAAUUUUUUUUUUUUAGUUCAUAUAAAAAGAAAAGUUUGCGACCUCGAUGUUGGAUUAAGAUAAAAUUUAAAUGUAGAAG
This 479-nucleotide ribosomal RNA is filed under the name Sesamia penniseti. Its description in RNAcentral is "partial 16S large subunit ribosomal RNA". Lineage: Eukaryota; Metazoa; Arthropoda; Insecta; Lepidoptera; Noctuidae. The record is from RNAcentral.